UACGGAGGAUGCGAGCGUUAUCCGGAUUUAUUGGGUUUAAAGGGUGCGUAGGCGGGAUGCCAAGUCAGCGGUAAAAAUGCGGUGCUCAACGCCGUCGAGCCGUUGAAACUGGCGUCCUUGAGUGGGCGAGAAGUAUGCGGAAUGCGUGGUGUAGCGUUGAAAUGCAUAGAUAUCACGCAGAACUCCGAUUGCGAAGGCAGCAUACCGGCGCCCUACUGACGCUGAGGCACGAAAGCGUGGGUAUCGAACAGG
Molecule: ribosomal RNA, 252 nt
Filed under: uncultured bacterium
Lineage: Bacteria
Description: partial 16S ribosomal RNA
Rfam family: Bacterial small subunit ribosomal RNA
Source: RNAcentral